AGGGUUUAUAGCAAACUUUAUUUAUUUAUUUACUUAGCAAACUAAGCAAAGAUAUAUAUAUAUAUCAGCACAAAAUCUUUAUUUGGAUUUUUAUGAUCAUGCAUCGUUUUAUUAUUUGAGUAAAGUAUAAACGUGAGUAGAACACUUAGCUGGAUAAAUGGGGUUGCUCUCCCCCAAGCUGGAUUUUGACGUAAUUUCUCCUGAUGUAGCUAGCAGGUGGCGGAGGUGUAUUUGAAUGUCGGUAGCACCCUGACAGCGAUUAGGAUGUCCUUUGUCUCCUAGUCUUCUUUGAUCCUUGAAUUCUGUGGAGCUGAAAUACACAACAAAGCUUUGUGGAACUAGUUAAGUGUUAGCAUAAAUAUCUAGCCUUUAUCAUGUUGAGCCUCCUCAAUAAAUGUUACACUCUUUGGCAGGAUCAUAAAUUUAUUUUUAUAUUUUUAUUUUUAUAGGACAGAAAUAUAUUUAUUUUAUUUUUAUGCCACCACAGUGAAUGUACUUAUGGGGUUUAUGCCACUCAUAUACUCACAUGGGGCUUACAAUUUUUUAACAUUUUUUAUUUUCUUUUCAAGAUGAUAUGAACCUGAUUAACUAAUCAAACUAUUUUAAAUAAUUGAAAGGAAAAAGGAUAACUACCAAGUUUACCUCUUGGCAAGCGUUCGGUGUUUUUGAGUCCUCCAAACGGAACUCUCCGUUUUCUCAGUCGUCCUGGGAUUCGCUGGAUGGCGUAGUCGGUGGUUCCGUGGCGCCUCCUCUUCAUGUAUGACUAUCCUCUCUCUCCACACCUGACUCGGUGCUACGGUCUCCUCAGGACAGUUCUGUUCAAGCUGUAUGUCUUCAGACCUUACCACUUUUUCCUUCGUUGUCUGCCCAUCCGUCCUUGAUGAUUUGCCUCCUCUGGUUGCAGUUGCGUCGUCUCCUUCUUGUCAUGACCUGCUUAGAGUCUUCAACUAUAUAGUUAGGGUGAGUAAAAUAGCGCGUACCUUCUCAGAGGGGAAGUGCAUGUUGACUUCUCCGGUUCCAAUAUUGAUGAUUGCUUUAACGGUGCUGAGGAACGGUCUCCCAGGGAUGAUGGGUGGAUCGUACUCGUCUUCUUCAACCUUUCGGAAUGUCUAAUCUGCCAUCUGGAGCUGAGUGUAUGUCGGUUUUAGGGGCAUGGUUCUGAACAGGAGGUGAUAGGUGACUGCGGCCAUUGUGUUGACGCCUGACCCGGUGUCGCACAGUGCUUCUGGGAAGUCCACCAUGCCGAUGGAGAUCAAGAUGACGGGCAUCCUAGAUCGCCUCUCGGAGUAGUUAGGCCUCUGUUGAUUCCAACCUUGAUUUUGUUGAGGACGAUUUGUUGAUGUAGUUUACGUCCUCAAGUAUCUCAGGGCAGUGAUUGCCUGAGUGUCCAGUAUCUCUAGUGUGUUUGUACUCGUAGAUCUAUGUUCUUCACUUGGUGGAGUGUGGGAGUUGUAAAACUCCUCCAUAUUUUGCUUGAAGUGUACCUGCUCAUAGAGACAAGGUAGAGAUCAAGUGCAUGGGCCCUGUUGGUGGAAAACACCAACAAAACCAAAAGUGUAUUUGUUCUCUCUAACCUUAAGCAUAGUGAGCAAGACAAAGUUGAUGGAUAAUAAGAUCAUGAGUGUAGCAUUUAAAACAUUUGUCAGAUUAGAUCGCUCAACCUAAUGGAAAGAUAAUCUAUCUAUACUUAUGUUUUUAUAUAUAUCUUCCAAAGAUUACGUGUGCAACAUUUUAGCUCACAUGAUUAGGAGUGUGGGAUCACAAAGGUGGAAGGACUAAACAUAUUGAAUCGAUUGGGUUGGUAAAUCUAGAGUUGUAAAUCAUACAUGUUUGUCUCUUUUAUUCAUGUGAACACCAGAACCAAGGAGAAGCUUACAAAAGUGAUAGUCAAGUACUUUAAGAUGUUACCUUACUUGAAGAGUGGUGGUACAAUAUCACCUUGUGAAAGCUUCCCUUUCUUAGCGGUUGUGCAUCGUGUUUGUGGCACCCUCCAUGGAUCAUCUCUUGUGAGCGAUGACUUCCUUGUGUAAAUUGUUAAACUUCAUGUGUCUCUCUCUUUUUCUCCAAUGUGAGUUUAUCUCAGGACUUCCCAGGUCGAUAUUGAAAGUUUUCCUGCAGGGGUUAGUCCAACAAAAUAUCCCAUAUCUACUAUAGCAUACUAUCGGCUCAAAAGUCAACCUAGACACCAUGUCUACUUUGAUUUAGGAGGGCAUUUUAACCUAAGCACCAUGCUUAAUUUAAAAUCCCUUGGAAGUAACAUCAUCAUUCCUAAACUAAGCACCAUGCUUAAUUAAGAGAUAAAUGAAACUGCUCCAAACCUAGACAUAUACUAAAGCAAAUAAAGGUAGCAUGAGAGCAUUUAUAGAGAUUUACUCAAGUGGAGAUGAAGUAGUGUGAUUAGUAUUUAACAAAUUGAGCAUGUCUCAAAGGUAGGGACAACCAACAUAGCAACAUGACAAAGGAUGUUUUUAUGUAAAGUACUCCCCCAAGCUUGAAUUUUGCAAAAUUCAAGUUUGGAUGAAUUUAAUACACUGUUGUAUGAUGAUUGGUUGGACAUACCUUGUGCUUGUCAUUCAUCCGAUCUUCUUGCUCUAAACCUGGAAAGGUUAGUGACAAGAAUACCCAAAGGAAUUUUUUACAAUUAUCCUUAUAUGCUCAAUACACAAGGUAAUGUUGUAAAUAAUUAAAAGCUCAUGUUACGAUCUGAUCAGUGCUUAUUUUAGGACACUAAGCUUGUCCUUGGGAAACCAUCAAUUUAUGUCGGCGAAGUGGUUUCCCCUCCAAUGCUGACCUAUAUCAAGAUCAACUCAACGAGAUCUGCAAUAUUUAUUAUAGACAUAUGCAUCGACAACCGCCCUUUUAAAUUUUUUAUAAAUAGAAAGGAAGAGGGGGUUGGAGAUCUCAAAUGUGGUGAUGUUGGAGAGACCAAAAGAUUGGGAAGAUGUUGCAUAUGAGCAUGGAGCAAAUGAAGUGGCUAUGAAAUAAAUUCCAUGCUCAUUAAUGCUUUGAGUGAAAUCCAUGUGGUGUGGUGAAAAUGGUAAGAUGAGUGUGACAAAAAAGGAAAAGAGAAAGGAUACACGGAUGACUUGGUUUGAAACUAGCACAACUACCGGUCCCCGGCAAUGGCGCCAAAAAGCUUGUUAGGUAUUUUAAACACAAACAGAAAAAUCUGCAAGCGCACGGAUACCGAUGUAGCCUUCACCCGGGAGUAUUCCAGAGUAUCGAUUUUCCACAGGGAACGUGAGUGUACUAAUUAAGAUUCAAGAUCGCCCAAGGAUAACUAUGUAAUUAUUUUUGGUGGGAAGAGAGGAAGUUUCCUGAGAGUUCUCUAGUUGAUCUAAGAAUCAAGAAUUACUUCAAGAUUAUCUAUUUCGGGACAUCAGAACACUAACCACAGAAAGAGAUGAGAAGGGGGCUAGGAAGCUCUGACUACGGUCCUACAAACACCUAUCCGAACGAGGUGGAAUACGUCGACCGUUAGGGCUGUCACUACCCUAGGGCUACCACAACAAUCUGCAGGAUUAGGUGCAAUUCUAGGUAAUUGCAAGACUAAACACCACGUCUAAUCUAUUAAUUACUACUCUAGCAUUAUAAAGACUAGAGCACUUGAUGCAAGCGAGAAUCCAAUAAGUAAUUUGAAUUUAAAUAAAAGUAAGUAAAGAACUCAGGAAUUAUGAAUUGAAGAACUUGGAGAACGCCGAAGAACGAACCAGUUGCAGCAAAAGUAUAAUGUUGAGGAAGAUCCGACAGAUCUGGCUCCUCCUCCGCUCUCCUCUUCUCUCUCCCUAUUUUCUAGAUUACAACUAGAACGAACUAGAACUAGAACUAGAGGAACUAGAACUAGAUGAACUAGAACUAGAACUAGAUGAACUAGAGGGAUCCUCUCUACUUGGAUGAAGAAUUGAAACCCUAGCUUUGAUUCUGUAGAAGAGGAAUGAUCUCUAGGGGCCAGGGGGCCUUGGUUAUAUAGUCUUUUCAGAUGAAUCUAGGCCGUCGGAUCAAACCGACAUUAAUCACACGGUUUUUCUUGAUCUCUUAGGUCGGUGGAGCACGAUCCGCAAAGUUGAUCGUGAUUGGUGGAAAAAGGUGGGUGGGCGCCCUAAAGAGUAGGGCGGGCGCCCUGUCCCUAAGCCCUCUCGGCUUCCCAUUCGUUCCCGUGGCUUCUGGAGUCUUCUAGAUGAUAGAAAAUUGCGCUGCACGUUAAUAUCUCUAUGUAAACCCGACGUGUGGGCCUUUCUUCCGUAUUUCCUGAUAACCCCCUGCAGAAAUAGACAAACACCAAAACUCGUGGAAUUCUAUUAGAUAAAACCCUAAGUCUGGGUGUUGGUUGCAUUUGAAUCCUUUUCCAUGAUUAAUUGACGGUUAAAUGUGAGCAUUAAGGACCGUCAACAAGCUCCUCAAAGCUUGACCUUUGCUCGUCCCUGAGCAAAGAUGAACUCAAGUGUUUCUGAAGUGGUUUCAUGCCUUAAAGGUACACAUGUGUUCAAACAGGAUCUCAUCUCUGGGUUAGGGUAAACUGUUAAGAUUUAAACUUACUCAUUUUACCUUCCACCAUGGGACUUGUAACCGUCACUUGUGUCUUGAGCAGUUAAAAGAUAGAACGGUCUAGUCAUGCGCCAUGUCUCUUAUUCUUGAUCAACUAUAGCUCUGGAGUUUUUGCAAAUUUUCAAAAUAAAUCUCAGAGAUUCCUUAUGACUCUCUCAAUUCUCUUUUUUAUGGUAUUUCUAGAUCCUUACCAAGGCAGUAAUGGUGUAUGCCUUCUCUCAAAGUAUGUGGUAUUUUUGGUAUGAGGCAUAGUGGCAUUGCCUUCUCUUUCACCCUACUCUAAUAAGGUUUUGAUAUCUGGAGCUCAUAGGUGGGAGACAGCUAAUACAUACUUACAAGACAUUUAUUGCAUAGUCAAACCAUGGAUCCAGAAGAACAAGUCAAUAAGUCAAAUCAAGAUGUGCAUGUGUGGUGAAUGAAUGGUGUAUGGUGAUGAUGGUGAUAACAACGGUGAAACUCUAAUUCUACUUGUGCUCUUUUGAGGGGAUACAUACCUUUCUUGCUCUUUUGAAACUUUUUGAGGAGAAUGAGAUACUCUAUAUUUUCUUUUUCUUUUCUCUCAGGUGGGUAUCUUGUACCCCUAUUUCUACUGUCGGACACUUGUCCAUUUUUACCACUCGUCUCACUUUUUCUAUUCUUUCGAGGUUCCGGGCACUUGCCCCUUUUUAUUUCCUCGUAUCUUCUUCUUUUUUUAGAGCACUCAUCUCUUGAAAUAAUGUAGCAAGUGGUAGUAACUGAAAUAACUUGAGCAUUUAUUUCACAGGGGAAAACAGAAACAGGAGAAUGUUUUUGGCUAUUCUCUCCUAGAUAGGAGUAGAAUAAUUUUGGGUGAAUCUGGAUAUGGAAAUGAGUGGAUGUAUGUGGAUGCGUACUUCCAGAGUAGAAGCAGCAUGUGUGAGUGAACGUGCAAGUGAAUCUUGAUUUAACCACAUGACAAGCUCCUAAGGGUCUACACAGCUUGACCACACUCAAUGCUCAUAAGCAGUAAAAAGUAAAUGUGUGGCCCAAAGUCUAGCAAGCAUUGUUGGGUAUUUUAAACGCAAACAAAAAAAUCCGCAAGCGAACGGAUACCGAUGUAGCCUUCACCCGGGAGUAUUCCAGAGUAUCGAUUUUCCACAGGGAACGUGAGUGUACUAAUUAAGAUCCAAGAUCGCCCAAGGAUAACUAUAUAAUUAUUUUUAGUGGGAAGAGAGGAAGUUUCCUGAGAGUUCUCUAGUUGAUCUAAGAAUCAAGAAUUACUUCAAGAUUAUCUAUAUCGGGACAUCAGAACACUAACCAUAGAAAGAGAUGAGAAGGGGGCUAGGAAGCUCCGACUACGGUCCUACAAACACUGAUACGAAUGAGAUGGAAUACGUCGACCGUUAGGGCUGUCACUACCCUAAGGCUACCACAACAAUCCGCAGGAUUCGGUGCAAUUCCAGGUAAUUGCAAGACUAAACACCACGUCUAAUCUAUUAAUUACUACUCUAGUGUUAUAAAGACUAGAGCACUUGAUGCAAGCGGGAAUUGAAUAAAUAACUUGAAUGUAAAUAAAAGUAAUUAAAGAACUCAGGAAUUAUGAAUUGAAGAACCUGGAGAACGAUGAAGGACGAACCAGUUGUUGCAAAAGUACAAUGUUGAGGAAGAUCCGACAGAUCCGGCUCCUCCUCCGCUCUCCUCUUCUCUCUCCCUAUUUUCUAGAAUACAACUAGAACUAACUAGAACUAGAACUACAGGAACUAGAACUAGAUGAACUAGAACUAGAACUAGAUGAACUAGAGGUAGAACUAGAAGAACUAGAGGGAUCCUCUCUACUUGGAUGAAGAAUUGAAACCCUAACUUUGAUUCUGUAGAAGAGGUAUGCCUCCAGGGGCUGGUGGGGGUCUGCUUAUAUAGUCCAGGAAGAGUAGCCCCCAAGAAAUCUAGGAAGAGUAGCUCCCAAGAAAUCUAGGAAGAGUAGCUCCCAAGGAAUUUCCACGUUAUUCUCCACCAUCCGAUCAAACCGACCUUAAUCGUGUGAUUUUCCUUGAUCCUUAGAGUCGGUGGAGCAUUGUUGAUGGUUCUUAAGUAUCAAUUUUAAUUAUCAAAUAAACAAGGGAAAGGACCAAUAUACAACCAACACCUAGAAUUAGGGUUUGAUCUGAUAGAAUUCCACGAGUUUUGUUGUUUAUCUGUUUCUGCAGGGGGUUAUCAGGAAAUAAGGAAGAAAGGCCCACAUGUCGGGAUUACAUAGAGAUAUCAACGCACCGCGCGAUUUUCUACCAUCUAGAAGACUCCAAGCCACGGGAAGAAAAUAGAGGCCGAAAGGGGCCAGGCCCAGGGCGCCAGCCCUGGUGACCUGGGCGCCCACCCCCUGCUGGAUCUAGUUCGGGACUCUCUUCGCACGGGAUGUUCCACCGACCUAUUGGAUCGAGGAAAACAGAGUACCACCUCGCCUACCGACCCAAAAACGCAUAGAGGAGGAGGACUAUAUAAGGAGACCCCCUGGCCCCUGGAGAAGACAUGAAGAAAUUAUCAUAAAGAUUGAGGGGUGCCCUCGAAGGAAAACCUCUUCUCUAAUUAAUAUUUCUUUUUAGGCUUAGCAACCAAUGUAAAGUAGAAAUAGAUCUUCUAGUUUCUACUAGAUUGAGAGAGAUAUAGUGGAGGUGUAGAUUGGAGGAAGCCCGGCCUGUCGGUGUCUAAUCCAAGCUUGUACCUGCGGGAUCAAGUUCUCCUAACCCGAAGCUUGCUCCUAGGAUUCUUCAGUAUUUCGACUUCUAAAUUCUAGUAAGUUCUUGUUUUAUUGUUCUUAUGGUUUAUGAGUUUACUUUAAUCUCUUCGCGUAGAGUUUAGAGUAAUCAUUGCUGGCGUAAAUGUGGUGUUUAGGCUGGGGUACUCAUAGAUAUUCCCUGACUAGCUGGACCAUGGUAGUAGUGAGGAACGUGACAAUUCCGAGUUACCUUUGUAGACCAUAUCUCGUUAGCAGGAUGGAUAGGGUUUAUAGGUGCGGGUUGAACAUCCUUUGUGGUGUCUAAAUUCUAUUAGCCUCCCCAUUAGAACAGUAGAUCAUCCUUACCAAGGUUAGAAGGAGACUACGGUUGCAGUCUUCUCUAUUUAUCACUCACAUCGAAAGACAUUCUUUGUGCCUAAAGGGUUAGUAGUAAUAGACCGGUUAGUCAGAUGCACUCUUUCUCCUAGUGGUAAAAAAAUAAAUACGAUACUCUGGAUAAUUUCCCAGGUGAAGUGCUCACCGAUAUCCGUGCGCUUGCGUAUCAAUUCCUUAUUGCGUUCCCAAAUAUCAACAAGCAUUUCUGGCGCCGUUGCCGAGGAGAAAGACGGUUGCUGAGAUAACCUGAGUCUUACUACUAGCUUGUAUCUAUACUUUUAUCUUUUCUUAUCUUUUAUAUUCUUUAUUUAUUUUCUUUACUCUUACCUUAUGGAAAACCAAAAUUCUAAAUCGAUCCAUGAGUCUGCAAUCCCUUCAGUAACUGACCUUUUACCAUGGGAGUCAUCACAGCCUAUCCAAACAUCCCAGUAUAAGUUAAGUUCUAGGUUGAUUGCCAUGAUUCAAAACCUAUCUUUUUCGGGAAAGGAAGACGAAAACCCGUACCUUCAUAUUAGAGAUUUUGAGCAAACAUGUGAUUGUCUUCGCGUUGAAGGCAUUUCUGAUAAAACUUUACGUUGGAAGCUUUUUCCUUUUUCUUUAAGGGGAGAAGCUAGACAAUGGUACAGUCAGAAGGUAAGUCAACAACAAGGUGAAUGGGGAGUUUUACGAGCCAACUUUUGUCUAGAUUUCUAUUCUCUUGACCGUAUAGCCGACCUUAGACUUGAAGUCCUAUCUUUUAAACAAAAAGAUAAUGAAACUUUGGGAAAAUCCUGGAAACGUUUUUCUGAUCUUUUAGAAUCUGGUCCAAACCUUAAUCUUGAAGACCCUGUUCUUUUAUUUCACUUUUUUCGAGGUCUUCAAAAAAAUCACAAACAAAUGCUACACACAAUGUCUAGAGGUUCUUUCUUUCGCAUCCCUACUGAUGCAGCUAGAGUGAUCCUAGAUAGAAUCCUAGAAGCUGAGAUGGAUAAUACCCUUCAUGAUGAAACCUACGAAGCCGAAGUAGACACUCUGCCAAAUUAUUCAUCUACUUUAGCUAUCCCAAGUUCUGAGCCACAAGAGGAAGAAAUUCCACCACCGGACUUCAUGCUGGAUAUAGAAUCCGAUCUUUUUGCCGAUUUUGGAAACAUUUUAAACUAUCAUUCUAUUGACAAACCCCAAAAUGAUCAGUUUAGCAUUUAUUUGCCAAGUGAACAUCAAUUGAGAGAGCUUAUCUCAGUAAUGAGUAGCGAAUGGUUGGAGGAAUCAGAGCUUACCUCUGAUGUGAUCCGUUUGGACACACCCUCUAUAACUAUACGCUGUGCUUAUAAUUCUGAUCGAUUUAAUGCUCUAUAUAAUCCUGUUGUGGGGAUCAACAUCAUGUCUGAAUCCUUUGCACUUAAACUAUUUAAAAAUCUUGCCUUAACCCCCACAACAAAGGUCAUAAAGGAAUCUUCGGGACGAUUAGUCCCCAGUCUUGGAAUUAUUAAUGUCCUACCUCUUACGGUAGAAGGCUCCAUGGUUCAUUUGAACUUCUAUAUCUUUGAUACAUGGGACUUCGACCUGUUGAUAGGACAACCUUUUAGAAGACUCCUUUAUGAAGGUCAUACUGGAAAGCUACACAUUUCUUUUGGAAAAACUUUUGAAUUCCCAAUAACAAUUGCACACUCCUUAAACAAUAAGGCCGAAUCAUAUCUUUUGCCUGAUCCUAUGGAGGAGGUAAAGGCUGCAUCUCUAGAGCUUUUAGAAGAACCAGACUUAGAAGACGAAACUCCUUUCUUCACAGAAGAAGAAGACGAACCUUCUGAGCCUGAACCCUUAGAUGAGUUUGCAGAAACACCUAGACCCCCCAUAGAGCUUAAAACUUUACCACCCGGUCUUACCUAUGCUUUCCUAAACAAUAAUCCAGAGUUCCCUGUGAUCAUUAGCGAUAAACUCACUCAGGAUCAAACUCUGCGAUUAAUGACCAUUCUUGAGAAACAUCACUCAGUGUUCGGCUACUCACUCCAAGAUCUUACAGGAAUCAGUCCUAUGAUUUGUACCCAUCGUAUUCCAACAGAUCCUUCUGUUUCACCAUCUCGAGAACCCCAACGUAGACUUAACAACACUAUGAGAGAGGUAGUUAAAAAGGAAGUUAUAAAGUUGCUGCAUGUAGGGAUUAUAUAUCCUGUGCCGCACAGUGAGUGGGUAAGCCCAGUGCAAGUUGUGCCUAAAAUGGGAGGCAUGACUGUUAUUAUGAAUGAAAAGAACGAGCUAAUUCUGCAACGCACCGUCACAGGAUGGCGGAUGUGCAUAGACUAUAGAAAACUAAACGAAGCCACGAGAAAGGAUCACUUUCCUUUACCUUUCAUAGAUGAGAUGCUAGAGCGGUUAGCAAACCAUUCGUUCUUCUGUUUCUUAGAUGGAUAUUCAGGGUAUCAUCAGAUCCCAAUCCAUCCUGAUGAUCAAAGGAAAACCACUUUUACAUGUCCAUAUGGAACUUAUGCUUACCGUAGAAUGUCUUUUGGGUUGUGUAAUGCACCAGCUUCUUUUCAAAGAUGCAUGAUGUCUAUAUUUUCUUAUAUGAUUGAAGAGAUUCUGGAAGUUUUCAUGGACGAUUUCUCUGUUUAUGGAAAACUUUUGAUAGUUGUCUUGAAAACUUAGACAAGGUUUUGCAAAGAUGUGAAGAAAAGCACUUAGUCCUUAAUUGGGAAAAAUGUCAUUUUAUGGUUAGGGAAGGAAUAGUGCUGGGACACCUAGUAUCUGAAAGAGGAAUUGAGGUAGACAAAGCCAAAAUUGAAGUAAUUGAACAACUACCUCCACCUGUGAACAUAAAAGGAAUUCGAAGCUUUCUUGGCCAUGCUAGCUUUUAUCGUAGAUUCGUAAAAGAUUUUUCAUUUAUUGCUAGACCACUUACUCUUUUGCUAGCCAAAGAUGCUCCUUUUGAAUUCGAUGAUGCAUGUCUAACAUCUUUCAAUCUAUUAAAGAAAGCACUCAUCUCUGCACCAAUCAUUCAACCCCCCGAUUGGUCGUUGCCUUUUGAAAUUAUGUGUGAUGCUAGUGAUUAUGCUGUGGGGGCAGUAUUGGGACAAACUAAAAAUAAGAAGCAUCAUGCAAUUGCUUAUGCCAGUAAAACUUUGACAGGAGCUCAACUUAAUUAUGCAACCACUGAAAAAGAGCUUCUGGCUGUUGUCUUUGCCAUUGAUAAAUUUAGAUCUUAUUUACUUGGAGCUAAAAUAAUUGUUUACACUGAUCAUGCUGCACUAAAAUAUUUGCUCACUAAAAAAGAUGCUAAACCUCGCUUGAUUAGAUGGAUCUUAUUACUCCAAGAAUUUGACUUAGAAAUAAAAGAUAAAAAGAGAGUAGAAAAUUCUGUUGCUGAUCACUUAUCUAGAAUGUAUUUUAAGAGUCCACAGGAAACCCCCAUCAAUGAUUCACUUCGGGACGACAUGCUCUACGGGAUUAAUAGGUCUGACCCCUGGUAUGCAGAUAUUGUUAAUUUUAUGGUUUCAGGGUAUGUACCACCAGGAGCAAACAAGAAGAAGCUUAUUCAAGAAAGUCGUUCACAUAUAUGGGAUGAGGCAUACCUCUUCCGAGUAUGCUCUGAUGGCUUACUCAGGAGAUGUGUGACCACUGAGGAAGGAGGGAAGAUCAUCGACAGAUGUCAUUCAUCACCAUAUGGAGGUCACUAUGGAGCAUUCCGUACACAUUCAAAGAUCUGGCAGUGUGGAUUCUACUGGCCUACAGUGUAUGAAGAUACGAAGCAAUAUAUCAGAAGAUUUGGGCCUUGUCAAAGGCACGAAAACAUAAAUACAAGGGAUGCAAUGCCACUCACCAACAACCUUCAGAUUGAGCUCUUUGAUGUAUGGGGAAUAGACUACAUGUGUCCAUUUCCUCCAUCAAAGAAGUGUGAGUACAUCUUGGUGGUAGUUGACUAUGUCUCCAAGUGGGUAGAGGCAUUACCCUGCAAGCAUGCCCACAAUAUCAGUUCAAAGAGGAUGUUUGAAGAAAUUAUAUUUCCAAGAUUUGGAGUCCCCAGAGUAGUGAUAAGUGAUGAGGAGCACACUUCAUCGACAAACGCUUCAAGCAAUAUCUAGCAAAACAUGGAAUCCGUCACAACAUCGCUACCCCUUAUCAUCCUCAGACAAGUGGCCAAGCAGAGACUUCCAACAAACAAAUCAAGAAUAUUCUUCAGAAGACAGUAAAUGAAAUGGGAACGGUGUGGAAAGACAAGUUACCGAUGCACUCUGGGCAUAACGGACAGCAUACAAGACCCCAAUCGGAAUGUCUCCAUACCAAUUGGUGUACGGGAAGACUUGCCAUCUACCUGUUGAACUAGAGUUCAAAGCACACUGGGCCAUAAAGAGAUGGAAUAUGGACCUAGAUGUUGCUGGAGAUUAUAGAAAAAUGCAACUAUCAGAAUUGGAAGAAUGGCGAGAGAAGGCAUAUCACAACUCAAAGAUUUACAAAGAAAGAGUCAAAAGGUGGCAUGACAAGAGAAUCUAGAAGAAGGAGUUCACACCCGGAGAUAAGGUAUUACUUUUUAAUUCCUGGGUGAAGCUUUUCGGGCAUGGAAAACUCCGGAGCAAAUGGGAAGGACCAUUCAAGGUAAUUAAUUCAUCAUCCCACGGAGCUAUUACACUUCAAAAUGACGAAGGUACGUUAUUCAAGGUAAAUGGUCAACGUCUUAAAUUAUUUUUAGAGCCUAAUAAAGAAUUAGAUGAAAUAGACGUAGUCCACUUUUACCUUCCCAUGGAGAAUUAGAGCCCGACCUUUUUAGUCUGAUGUUUUUGGGUCAUAUAUAUAUUUUUUUAAAUAAUUUCGCAUCUAGAAACGCGCUCGAGAAAGUGGGCCCACAGAGGGGCUAGAGAGAGGGCGGGCGCCCAGCUCAAGUGGGCGGGCGCCCAGCUCCAGUUCCCCCUCGGUCCCGAUUUUCUCUGUUAUGGAAAAUGCACUUAUGGUAAUCCGAAUAAUCCCUCGGAUGGAAAGUUUCACACGCACAUCGACGGGAGAAACCCGAACAACCCAUAGAUGCACUUUUUGACCCCUAUAUAAACAGACCCCUGACCUCAGUUUUCAAACACCAAAGCCACCAAGCCUUCUCUCCUUCAAUUAGAGCUUGAUUAGUUCCUUGCUGCUCCAAUGGCCGAGAAGUACCACGAUGAUUGGGAAGUCGUCCACUUCAACCUCAACAUGGAGCCUGUGGAAGACCCCGAUGCCCGUGCUCUCGUCCCGGCCAACACAGAGCGACAGCUAGCAGCCAUGCCAUUACGCCAACACAGCUCCGCCCAAUCUUACCAAGCUCAACCAGUUCUCACCGCACCGCCACAACCCCUACUCCUCAAAGGAUCAUCAUCCAAGACGAAGACCACCAUCAAGGUGCCAACCGGCACAAGGAUCCUUCCACCUAGACCUAAUGAGAGGGUCGUUGGAGUCAAGACCAACUGGAGUGGCGAGAUCAGCAGUAUUCGCUACACUACAAAGGAAGAAAGGCCUUACUUUGAAGGGAUUAGAGCAGCCAAAGUCCGUUUCAUCCCUCCAAAGGCAGCCCCGAAGCACGCUCUCAAUGCUUUUGAGACACCUCCCAAGCGUAGCAAGACUAUAAUGGAUAUUGAUGAGGACGUUCGCAGACUAGACAAAGUUAUCAUAGACCUCCAGUCCUCUAUUAAUUCCCUCACUAGGCAGCUCUCUAACCACAACACUAUUAUACUAGGCCUUAGGCAGGAUCUUGCUAGUGCCAACAAGAAGAUUAAGGAAUUAGAGCGCCGCUAAGUUAUCUAGAUUAGACCUUGAGGCAAUGCAUUUUAGUCAUCUAUCUUUAAAUUCGGUUUAGGUUUGCUAUUAUCAUCAAUUUGCUAUUAUCAUCAGUUUGCUAUUAUCAUUAGUUUGCUCUUAUCAGUUUGCUACUAGUCUUUUGUAAUAAAUGCCUCAAGAUUAAUAAAGAGUAUUAUUAUUAUUAUUAUUAUGUCUUGUGUGUCUCUACUUUAUUUUUUGUGCAAGAAAGCAGAAAACAAGUAUGGGGGAGAUCCCUCGACAUGCUAAACACACUCCGACCACAUCACUCCACGAUUCAGGUACACACUCUGCACACUUUACUUUAUACAUAUAUUUUGGAUUAUGCAGAAUAUUGUUUCCGACAUGAUAAAUUAAAAAGAUUAAAAUAUUUCUAAUCAUGGUUAAUCUCAAUCUAUGAUAUUUCCUGAAAACUUGCAACUAUUAUAAAAUCAUUUUAAAACCCUGUGUUACUUAAGUCAAUAUGAAAUAUGUGAUGGUAGAGUAUGAGUUUCUUAUUCUUGAUAUCAUUGUUGCUUGGAGAAUUUAUUUCAAAAUAUUCAAAAUUCUAGCUACCAUCCUCAGUGUUUUAUAUGCCUGAUAAAACUAAAAAUAUUAAUUAUGAUUAUAAAAGCUAUCUACUCUGUAUUGAGUUUGUUCAAAAUGAGUUAGACCCUUGUUGAGAGAUUUAUCAUGCUCCUAAGAUCAAGACAUUUAUUCAGAAAGAUUCACUCUUCCGAAGUAUUAUUGCAUUAGAGGCAUGGGCUAUGCAAAAAUAGAGAUAUUUUGAGGAAAUAAAAAGGAGCAAGUGCUCGACAACCUCGCAGAAAAAUGGACAAGUGUCUGGCAGUAGAAUUAGGGGUACCUCGGUAUCCACUUAAAAAAAAGGGGAAAAAAUGAUAGCCCAUGGUCCCUCUAAUAAGCAAUAUGCCAGCAAGAGUUGACAAAGAUUGUAAUUUCCAAAGGCUUUGAUCUAAGAGUAUGACAUUCCCCUCCUCGUAUCCCGUUUUGAUCAGGCAAUAAAUGCAAAGUAAGUAUGCUUGAGAAUUUUAGCAAAAUAAAACAACCUCAGUGAGAUAUAUAUAUAAAAAAAUAAUGAGUGAUCUGAGAAGAACCUAUGAGGAUAAAAAGGUAUGCUAACUUUCUUUCAAAAAAAUAUAUACAAAAACUCCAAGUGACAGGAUUGAGAAGAAAGGAUCUUUACUCUUAACCAUAAACAUCCCUGACUAUAGUACACAGUGGAUUUUUAACACCCUCCAACUAUAAAGAGAAUGCUUUUAAAAUGUUUUACCCCAGAUAUUGUUCUUAACCAUCAUUUUCUCGAGGACGAGUAAAAGCCUAAGUAUGGGGGUAUUUGUUGACGGUUCUUAAGUAUCAAUUUUAAUUAUCAAAUAAACAAGGGAAAGGACCAAUAUACAACCAACACCUAGAAUUAGGGUUUGAUCUGACAGAAUUCCACGAGUUUUGUUGUUUAUCUGUUUCUGCAGGGGGGUAUCAGGAAAUAAGGAAGAACGGCCCACAUGUCAGGAUUACAUAGAGAUAUCAAUGCACCGCGCGAUUUUCUACCAUCUAGAAGACUCCAGAAGCCACGGGAAGAAAACAGAGGCCGAAAGGGGCCAGGCCCAGGGCGCCCGCCCUGGUGACCUGGGCGCCCGCCCCCUGUUGGAUCCAGUUUGGGACUCUCUUCGCACGGGAUGUUCCACCGACCUAUUGGGUCGAGGAAAACAUAGUACCACCUCGCCUACCGACCCAAAAACGCAUAGAGGAGGAGGACUAUAUAAGGAGACCCCCUGGCCCCUGGAGAAGACAUGAAGAAAUUAUCGUAGAGAUUGAGGGGUGCCCUCGAAGGAAAACCUCUUCUCUAAUUAAUAUUUCUUUUUAUGCUUAGCAACCAAUGUAAAGUAGAAAUAGAUCUUCUAGUUUCUACUAGAUUGAGAGAGAUAGAGUGGAGGUGUAGAUUGGAGGAAGCCCGGCCUGUCGGUGUCUACUCCAAGCUUGUACCUGCGGGAUCAAGUUCUCCUAACCCGAAGCUUGCUCCUAGGAUUCUUCAGUAUUUUGACUUCUAAAUUCUAGUAAGUUCUUGUUUUAUUGUUCUUAUGGUUUAUGAGUUUACUUUAAUCUCUUUGCAUAGAGUUUAGAGUAAUCAUUGCUGGCGUAAACGUGGUGUUUAGGCUGGGGUACUCAUAGAUAUUCCCUGACUAGCUGGACCGUGGUAGUAGUGAGGAACGUGACAAUUCCGAGUUACCUUUGCAGACCAUAUCUCGUUAGCAGGAAGGAUAGGGUUUAUAGGUGCGGGUUGAACAUCCUUUGUGGUGUCUAGAUUCCGUUAGCCUCCCCAUUAGAACCGUAGAUCAUCCUUACCAAGGUUAGAAGGAGACUACGGUUGCAGUCUUCUCUAUUUAUCACUCACAUCGAAAGACAUUCUUUGUGCCUAAAGGGUUAGUAGUAAUAGACCGGUUAGUCAGAUGCACUCUUUCUCCUAGUGGUAAAAAAAUAAAUACGAUACUCUGGAUAAUUUCCCGGGUGAAGUGCUCACCGAUAUCCGUGCGCUUGCGGAUCAAUUCCUUAUUGCGUUCCCAAAUAUCAACAAGCAUAAUCCCCGAGACUCGUGCUGAUUGGCCAGCAAAGGACGGCAGGCGCCCUGCCUCCGAGCCCAAUCGCCUUCCCGUUUGUUUCCGUGGCUUCUGGAGUCUUCUAGAUGGUAGAAAAUUGCGCGGCACGUUAAUAUCUCUAUGUAAACCCGACGUGUGGGCCUUUCUUCCGUAUUUCCUGAUAACCCCCUGCAGAAAUAGACAAACACCAAAACUCGUGGAAUUCUGUCAGAUAAAACCCUAAGUCUAGGUGUUGGUUGCAUUUGGAUCCUUUUCCAUGAUUAAUUGAUGGUUAAAUGUGAGCAUUAAGGACCGUCAACAAGCUCCCCCAAGCUUAACCUUUGCUCAUCCCUGAGCAAAGAUGGACUCAAGAGUUUUUUAUAGGAUAGGAAUAUAUUUAUUUCAUUUUUUUAUGCCACCACAGUGAAUGUACUUAUGGGUUUUAUGCCAUGAGCAUACUCACAUGGGGCUUACUAUUUUAAACAUUUUUAUUUUCUUUUCAAGAUGAUAUGAGCUUGAUUAACUAAGCCAAUUGAAAGGAAAAAGAUAACUACCAAGUUUACCUCUUGGCAAGGCGUUCGGUGUUUUUACGUCCUCCGAACGGGACUCUCCGUUUCCUCAGUCGUCCUGGAUUCGCUGGAUGGCGUAGUCGGUGGUUCCGGCAACGCCUCCUCUUCGUGUAUAGCUAUCUUCUCUCUCCACACCUGACUUGGUGCUACGGUCUCCUCAGGACAAUUCUGUUCAAGUUGUAUCUCUUCAGACCUUACCACUUCUCCUUCGUAGUCUGCUCAUCCGUCCUUGAUGAUUUUCCUCCUCUAGUUGCGGUUGCGUCGUCUUCUUCUUGUCCUGACCUGCUUAGAGUCUUCAUCUAUAUAGUUAGGGUCAGUAAAAUAGCAGCGUACCUUCUUAGAGGGGAAGUGCAUGUGGACUUCUCCGGUUCCCAUGUAGAUGAUUGCUUUAGCGGUGCUGAGGAACGGUCUUCCAAGGAUGUCGGGUGGAUCAAAUUCGUCUUCUCUGAUGUCAAUAACCGUAAAAUCAUCUCGAGCUGAAUGUAUGUUGGUUGUAGGGGCAUGGUUCCAUGCAAGAGCUGAUAAGUGACUGCGGCCAUUAUGUUGACGUCAGAUCCAGUGUCGCAAAGCAUCUUCUAGAAGUUGUAUCCAUUAAUGGAGCACUGGAUGCUUGGCAUACUUGGGUCGUCCUUUUUGGUCAGGAACGGUGACUUAAGUCGACGAUCUUGACCUCCUUGAGCUGCAGUGACCAUCUUAGCUGACUCGGUCCACAUUUACUUAUUCCUGUUCCUCCUGUUGGUCCUUUUUCCUGGUUCAUGUCGGGAUUGCUCUGAGAUUUGUGUAGUCUUGUUCUUGAAGGAAAACGUCUCCUUCCUCCCUUUGAUGUAGAAACUGAUCUUGGCAGCACUAGCGUGGAUGACAGCUCCCGAGGUGUUCAGGAAUGGCCUCCCUAGGAUGAUGGGUGCCCUCUCAUUAGUACCAGUCUCUAUUACCAAGAAGUCUGCUGGGGCGUACAAGGUACCAACUCAGACGCAAAGGUUCUUCAAUAUUCCCUUUGGGAAACUUAGUGUCUGAUCUGCAGGCUGCAAAUGCAUGGUUGUUUCUAGUAAAGGAUGUGUAAAGAAUUUUUCAUAGAGUACCCGGGGCAUAAUGUUGACUCUAGAGCCAAAGUCGCAGAGUGCUUCUAGGAAGUCCACCAUGCCGAUGGAGAUCGGGAUGACGGGGUGUUCUAGAUUGUCUCUCUUGACCAGCAGAAGGUCAGUUAUUACUUCCACAACAGGGUUACUCCAGAAGUUACGUCCUCAAGCAUCUCAGGGCAGUGAUUGCCUGAGUGUCCAGUAUCUCCAGUGUGUUUGUGCUCGUAGAUCUAGGUUCUUCACUUGGUGGAGUCUAGGAGUUGUAAAAGUCUUUCAUAUUUUGCUCGAAGUGUACCUACUCAUAGAGACAAGGCAGAGAUCAAGUGCAUGGGCCCUAUUGGUGGAAAACACCAACAGAACCAAAAAUGUAUUUGUUCUUCUCUAACCUUAAGCAUAGUGAGCAAGACAAAGUUGGUGGAUAAUAAGAUCAUGAGUGUAGCAUUUAAAACAUUUGUCAUAUCAGAUCGCUCAACCUAAUGGAAAGAUAAUCUAUCCAUAUUCAUGUUUUGUUUAUAUCUUCCAAAGAUUGAAUGUGCAACAUUUUAGCUUAUAUGAUUAGGAGUGUGGAAUCACAAAGGUGGAAAGACUAAACAUGUUGAAUCAAUUGGGUUGAUUAAUCUAGAGUUGUAAAUCAUAUAUGUUUGUCUCUUUUAUUCAUGUGAAUGCCAGAACCAAGGAGAAGCUUUAUAAAAGUGAUAGUCAAGUACCUUAAGAUGUCACCUUACUUGAAGAGUGAUGGUACAGUAUCACCUUGUGGAAGCUUUCCUUUCUUAGUGGUUGUGCAUAGUGUUUGUGGCACCCUCCAUGGAUCAUCUCUUGUGAGCUAUGCCUUCCUUGUGUAAAUUGUUAAACUUCAUGUGUCUCUCUCUUUGUCUCCAAUGUGAGUUUAUCUCAGGACUUCCCAGGUCGAUAUUGCAAGUUUUUCUGCAGGGGUUAGUCCAACAAAAUAUCCAAUAUCUACUAUAGCAUACUAUCGGCUCAAAAAUCAACCUAAACACCAUGUCUAAUUUGAUUUAGGAGGGCAUAUUAAUCUAAGCAUCAUGCUUAAUUUAAACUCCCUUGGAAGUAAGAUCAUCAUUUCCAUGUGAGAGCUUAUCAUGAGGGUUUAUAGCAAACUUUAUUUAUUUAUUUACUUAGCAAACUAAGCAAAGAUAUAUAUAUAUAUCAGCACAAAAUCUUUAUUUGGAUUUUUAUGAUCAUGCAUCGUUUUAUUAUUUGAGUAAAGUAUAAACGUGAGUAGAACACUUAGCUGGAUAAAUGGGGUUGCUCUCCCCCAAGCUGGAUUUUGACGUAAUUUCUCCUGAUGUAGCUAGCAGGUGGCGGAGGUGUAUUUGAAUGUCGGUAGCACCCUGACAGCGAUUAGGAUGUCCUUUGUCUCCUAGUCUUCUUUGAUCCUUGAAUUCUGUGGAGCUGAAAUACACAACAAAGCUUUGUGGAACUAGUUAAGUGUUAGCAUAAAUAUCUAGCCUUUAUCAUGUUGAGCCUCCUCAAUAAAUGUUACACUCUUUGGCAGGAUCAUAAAUUUAUUUUUAUAUUUUUAUUUUUAUAGGACAGAAAUAUAUUUAUUUUAUUUUUAUGCCACCACAGUGAAUGUACUUAUGGGGUUUAUGCCACUCAUAUACUCACAUGGGGCUUACUAAUUUUUAACAUUUUUUAUUUUCUUUUCAAGAUGAUAUGAACCUGAUUAACUAAUCAAACUAUUUUAAAUAAUUGAAAGGAAAAAGGAUAACUACCAAGUUUACCUCUUGGCAAGCGUUCGGUGUUUUUGAGUCCUCCAAACGGAACUCUCCGUUUUCUCAGUCGUCCUGGGAUUCGCUGGAUGGCGUAGUCGGUGGUUCCGUGGCGCCUCCUCUUCAUGUAUGACUAUCCUCUCUCUCCACACCUGACUCGGUGCUACGGUCUCCUCAGGACAGUUCUGUUCAAGCUGUAUGUCUUCAGACCUUACCACUUUUUCCUUCGUUGUCUGCCCAUCCGUCCUUGAUGAUUUGCCUCCUCUGGUUGCGGUUGCGUCGUCUUCUUCUUGUCAUGACCUGCUUAGAGUCUUCAACUAUAUAGUUAGGGUGAGUAAAAUAGCGCGUACCUUCUCAGAGGGGAAGUGCAUGUUGACUUCUCCGGUUCCAAUAUUGAUGAUUGCUUUAACGGUGCUGAGGAACAGUCUCCCAGGGAUGAUGGGUGGAUCGUACUCGUCUUCUUCAACCUUUCGGAAUGUCUAAUCUGCCAUCUGGAGCUGAGUGUAUGUCGGUUUUAGGGGCAUGGUUCUGAACAGGAGGUGAUAGGUGACUGCGGCCAUUGUGUUGACGCCUGACCCGGUGUCGCACAGUGCUUCUGGGAAGUCCACCAUGCCGAUGGAGAUCAAGAUGACGGGCAUCCUAGAUCGCCUCUCGGAGUAGUUAGGCCUCUGUUGAUUCCAACCUUGAUUUUGUUGAGGACGAUUUGUUGAUGUAGUUUACGUCCUCAAGUAUCUCAGGGCAGUGAUUGCCUGAGUGUCCAGUAUCUCCAGUGUGUUUGUACUCGUAGAUCUAUGUUCUUCACUUGGUGGAGUGUGGGAGUUGUAAAACUCCUCCAUAUUUUGCUUGAAGUGUACCUGCUCAUAGAGACAAGGUAGAGAUCAAGUGCAUGGGCCCUGUUGGUGGAAAACACCAACAAAACCAAAAGUGUAUUUGUUCUCUCUAACCUUAAGCAUAGUGAGCAAGACAAAGUUGAUGGAUAAUAAGAUCAUGAGUGUAGCAUUUAAAACAUUUGUCAGAUUAGAUCGCUCAACCUAAUGGAAAGAUAAUCUAUCUAUACUUAUGUUUUUAUAUAUAUCUUCCAAAGAUUACGUGUGCAACAUUUUAGCUCACAUGAUUAGGAGUGUGGGAUCACAAAGGUGGAAGGACUAAACAUAUUGAAUCGAUUGGGUUGGUAAAUCUAGAGUUGUAAAUCAUACAUGUUUGUCUCUUUUAUUCAUGUGAACACCAGAACCAAGGAGAAGCUUACAAAAGUGAUAGUCAAGUACUUUA
Molecule: long non-coding RNA, 20574 nt
Filed under: Sorghum bicolor (sorghum)
Lineage: Eukaryota; Viridiplantae; Streptophyta; Magnoliopsida; Poales; Poaceae
Description: long non-coding RNA (SBIC_LNC010684)
Source: RNAcentral